Molecule: long non-coding RNA, 3853 nt
Organism: Oncorhynchus mykiss (rainbow trout)
Lineage: Eukaryota; Metazoa; Chordata; Actinopteri; Salmoniformes; Salmonidae
Source: Ensembl
AUGUUGUUCGCUUGCAGCUUGCGUUCUAGCUUCAGUUUCAUGUUUGCCUUUCCUGAUCAGACCUUUAAUUUCCUUCUGUACUACUUUCAACUCAUCCCUACUUCCAGUUUCAUCCCUUUGGAACGCAUUCCAGCUUCAUCCCUGUGGAACACAUUCCAGUUUCAUCCCUGUGGAACGCAUUCCAGUUUCAUCCCUGUGGAACGCAUUCUAGUUUCAUCCCUGUGGAACGCAUCCCAGUUUCAUCCCUGUGGAACGCAUUCCGGUUUCAACCCUGUGGAACGCAUUACAGUUUCAUCCCUGUGGAACGCAUUCCAGUUUCAUCCCUGUGGAACGACGCAUUCCAGUUUCAUCCCUGUGGAACGCAUUCCAAUUUCAUCCCUGUGGAACGCAUUCCAGUUUCAUCCCUGUGGAACGACGCAUUCCAGUUUCAUCCCUGUGGAACGCAUUCCAGUUUCAUCCCUGUGGAACGCAUUCCAGUUUCAUCCCUGUGGAACGCAUUCCAGUUUCAUCCCUGUGGGAAGCAUUCCAAUUUCAUCCCUGUGGAACGCAUUCCAGUUUCAUCCCUGUGGAACGCAUUCCAAUUUCAUCCCUGUGGAACGACGCAUUCCAGUUUCAUCCCUGUGGAACGCAUUACAGUUACAUCCCUGUGGAACGCAUUCCAGUUUCAUCUCUGUGGAACGCAUUCCAGUUUCAUCCCUGUGGGAAGCAUUCCAAUUUCAUCCCUGUGGAACGCAUUCCAGUUUCAUCCCUGUGGAACGCAUUCCAGUUUCAUCCCUGUGGAACGCAUUCCAGUUUCAUCCCUGUGGAACGACGCAUUCCAGUUUCAUCCCUGUGGAACGCAUUCCAGUUACAUCCCUGUGGAACGCAUUCCAGUUUCAUCUCUGUGGAACGCAUUCCAGUUUCAUCCCUGUGGAAAGCAUUCCAAUUUCAUCCCUGUGGAACGACGCAUUCCAGUUUCAUCCCUGUGGAACGACGCAUUCCAGUUUCAUCCCUGUGGAACGCAUUUCAGUUUCAUCCCUGUGGAACGCAUUCCAGUUUCAUCCCUGUGGAACGACGCAUUCCAGUUUCAUCCCUGUGGAACGCAUUCCAGUUUCAUCCCUGUGGAACGCAUUCCGGUUUCAUCCCUGUGGAACGCAUUCCAGUUUCAUCCCUGUGGAACGCAUUCCAGUUUCAUCCCUGUGGAACGCAUUCCGGUUUCAUCCCUGUGGAACGCAUUCCAGUUUCAUCCCUGUGGAACGCAUUCCAGUUUCAUCCCUGUGGAACGCAUUCCAGUUUCAUCCCUGUGGAACGCAUUCCAGUUUCAUCUCUGUGGAAAGCAUUCCAAUUUCAUCCCUGUGGAACGCAUUCCAGUUUCAUCCCUGUGGAACGCAUUCCAGCUUCAUCCCUGUGGAACGCAUUCCAGUUUCAUCCCUGUGGAACACAUUCCAGUUUCAUCCCUGUGGAACGCAUUCCAGUUUCAUCCCUGUGGAACGCAUUUCAGUUUCAUCUCUGUGGAACGCAUUCCAGUUUCAUCCCUGUGGAACGACGCAUUCCAGUUUCAUCCCUGUGGAACGCAUUCCAGUUUCAUCCCUGUGGAACGCAUUCCAGUUUCAUUCCUGUGGAACCCAUUCCAGUUUCAUCCCUGUGGAAAGCAUUCCAAUUUCAUCCCUGUGGAACGCAUUCCAGUUUCAUCCCUGUGGAACGCAUUCCAGCUUCAUCUCUGUGGAACGCAUUCCAGUUUCAUCCUUGUGGAACACAUUCCAGUUUCAUCCCUGUGGAACGCAUUCCAGUUUCAUCUCUGUGGAACGCAUUCCAGUUUCAUCCCUGUGGAACGACGCAUUCCAGUUUCAUCCCUGUGGAACGCAUUCCAGUUUCAUCCCUGUGGAACGCAUUCCAGUUUCAUCCCUGUGGAACGACGCAUUCCAGUUUCAUCCCUGUGGAACGCAUUCCAGUUUCAUCUCUGUGGAACGCAUUCCGGUUUCAUCCCUGUGGAACGACGCAUUCCAGUUUCAUCCCUGUGGAAAGCAUUCCAAUUUCAUCCCUGUGGAACGACGCAUUCCAGUUUCAUCUCUGUGGAACGCAUUACAGUUUCAUCCCUGUGAAAAGGAUUCCAAUUUCAUCCCUGUGGAACGCAUUCCAGUUUCAUCCCUGUGGAACGCAUUCCAGUUUCAUCCCUGUGGAACGCAUUCCAGUUUCAUCCCUGUAGAAAGCAUUCCAAUUUCAUCCCUGUGGAACUCAUUCCAGCUUCAUCCCUGUGGAACGCAUUCGAUACCUCGGAGAGUCCAUGCGCCAACGAAUUGAGGCUGUUCUAAGGGAAAAAGGGGUGCAACUCAACAUUAGGAAGGUGUUAUUAAUGUUUUGUACGUUCAGUCCGAUGUGAUUGCAAUGCCGUUCAGUCAGUUACACAAUAUCCAGUUUUUUUCAACACUUUUUAAGCAACCCAUGACAGUUGAUAUUUUAAGAAAUUCCUUUUUCCACCAAUUUACAAGUUUCAUAACUUGGGGGAUUAUUACAGUUCAUAUAACCACUCUGUUCUGGUUUUAAAGACGGGCCUAUUUUAGUGUCUUUAAGGGUUACUUAUGGUUGUGCCCCUUGUACACAUAAACAUCGUCAUCUCUGACAACCACUUUCAAAUCCAUUUCUAUCCUCUGCUCUUUGAAAAGAGCUUCCUAGAUUCAACAAUGAACAAUGAAUCUGGCAGAUAAGACAAUGUAUUGUCUUCUGUUUCCAAGAUAAAUGUACAUUGGAUCUUUAUAUUCUCAAUAUCAAUACACAUUUCUGAUACAUUUGAGCCCACAAAUUAAAUGUUGUUAAUUGUUUUAUUAUUUUGCCAUAUAUGACAGCAUUCAGCUAUCAAACAAUACUCAUCAAAUGUCUGUCAACACACAUGGCCAUGAUAAGCUUCUCCUGAGUGUAUUUGUGAAAGGCGUGAUGAAAAUGUCCUCGGUGGUAGAUGAGGGUCUCCUUUUGUAAUGGUCAUUAUUAAUUGAAUAUGUUGUAUGAAUUAUGUUCAAUUAAAGAAAUUAGAGACUGUACACUCAUUUGUGACAUUUAUGCUUUCCACAACACCUUUUCUACUCAACAUAAAUGUACUUGAAUGAUUAUGUCACUGUGAGAGCUAUUGGAUACAUUUUUAACAUGCCUGUAUUCUCCUAAAUGUUUUGUCUUCACCAGCACCACCCACCAAUGUGUCCAUCAGCCUGCUCCCAGCCCGGCCUCUGGUGGGAGAAAAGGUCACUCUGUCCUGUCUUGUAUCCUCAUCCCCUGUUCCUUCACACACCCCAACUCUUACAACCCCACUAAUGUCACCUGGUACCAGCAUUCCAAGCUGCCUGGUAAAUACCCAGUCGUCUUCAGCCGCACCAAACCAGUGGAUAUCAUAGAGCACUACAGAGGUAGAACUGAACUGGUGGGAAGGGCCUCUGAUGGAGACUGCUGCCUGAUGAUCAAUGGAAUGAUAUUAGAACAUAACGGAGAGGACAUUUUCCCUUGGGUGGAUGAGGUCCACAAGUCUGUCUUUGCAUUAUUUCAGUGGAGGGUGACACUGGAGGUUCCAGGUAAUGAAUUAUGCAUUACCCGACAAAAGGGCUCCUGAAGAUGGAUUGAGAUUUUUUAAAUUAACCAAAUAUGAUAACAUGAAUCCAAAAGAAAAUGUGUCUUAAUGUAGUUUUUGUUGGUUACAUUAUGUAGAUGUUAGCAGACUGCUGCGAGGAAUGACCGAUAACACAAUGAGUGAACCCAUAGUUAGUGUCUUAGACUUAGUGUCUCUUGUUAUUUCCAGAUACAGCACCAAGGCCACAGCUGUCACUCAGUGAAUGGCAGAAGGAGGGGGGGGGGCAACAUCACUGUUUCCUGUACUGUCCCCCACACCUGC